CUGGAGCCCUGCUGGGGCCCUGUUGGGAUCCACUGGGACCCUGGUGGGACCAGCUGGGACCCUGCUGGGACCAACGGGGACCCCCUGGAACCCUGCUGGGGCCCUGUUGGGAUCCACUGGGACCCUGGUGGGACCAGCUGGGACCCUGCUGGGACCAACGGGGACCCCCUGGAACCCUGCUGGGGCCCUGUUGGGAUCCACUGGGACCCUGGUGGGACCAGCUGGGACCCUGCUGGGCCCCACGGGGACCCCCUGGAACCCUGCUGGGGCCAACUGGGAUCCACUGGGACCCCGGUGGGACCAGCUGGGACCCUGCUGGGCCCCACGGGGACCCCCUGGAACCCUGCUGGGGCCAACUGGGAUCCACUGGGACCCCGGUGGGACCAGCUGGGACCCUGCUGGGCCCCACGGGGACCCCCUGGAACCCUGCUGGGGCCAACUGGGAUCCACUGGGACCCCGGUGGGACCAGCUGGGACCCUGCUGGGCCCCACGGGGACCCCCUGGAACCCUGCUGGGGCCAACUGGGAUCCACUGGGACCCCGGUGGGACCAGCUGGGACCCUGCUGGGCCCCACGGGGACCCCCUGGAACCCUGCUGGGGCCCUGUUGGGAUCCACUGGGACCCUGGUGGGACCAGCUGGGACCCUGCUGGGACCAACGGGGACCCCCUGGAACCCUGCUGGGGCCAACUGGGAUCCACUGGGACCCCGGUGGGACCAGCUGGGACCCUGCUGGGACCAACUGGGGUCAACUGGAACCCUGCUGGGGCCAACUGGGAUCCACUGGGACCCUGCUGGGACCAGCUGAGACCCGCUGGGUCCCUGCUGGGACCAACUGGGAGCCAACUGGGAUCAAGCAGGACCAUGCUGGCAUCAACUGGGGGCCAACUGGGAUCAACCAGGACCAUGCUGGGAUCAACUGGGGGCCAACUGGGAUGAACUGGGACCAUGUUGGGAUCGACUGGGAUCAAUAGGAACUGUACUGGAGCCAACCGGGACACUGCUGGAUUCAACUGGGAUCAACCGGGACCAUGUUGGGAUCGACUGGGACCAACUGGGAGCCGCCCCCACCCAAACUGGCCUGGAACUGGGCCGGCGACCCCUCC
RNAcentral lists this long non-coding RNA (1105 nucleotides) under Struthio camelus australis. RNAcentral's name for it is "lncRNA (ENSSCUG00000019009.1)". The record is from RNAcentral. Lineage: Eukaryota; Metazoa; Chordata; Aves; Struthioniformes; Struthionidae.